Molecule: ribosomal RNA, 490 nt
Filed under: uncultured bacterium
Lineage: Bacteria
Description: bacterial SSU rRNA
Rfam family: Bacterial small subunit ribosomal RNA
Source: RNAcentral
GAUGAACGCUAGCUACAGGCUUAACACAUGCAAGUCGAGGGGCAUCAUGACUGAGGUUUACCUUAGUUGAUGGCGACCGGCGAAUGGGUGAGUAACACGUAUCCAACCUGCCCGUUACUGGAGGAUAGCCCUCCGAAAGGAGAAUUAAUACUCCAUGUUGUGCUGAAUUCGCAUGUUUUCGGCACUAAAGAUUCAUCGGUAACGGAUGGGGAUGCGUCCGAUUAGGUAGUAGGCGGGGUAACGGCCCACCUAGCCUUCGAUCGGUAGGGGUUCUGAGAGGAAGGUCCCCCACAUUGGAACUGAGACACGGUCCAAACUCCUACGGGAGGCAGCAGUGAGGAAUAUUGGUCAAUGGGCGAGAGCCUGAACCAGCCAAGUAGCGUGCAGGAAGACGGCCCUAUGGGUUGUAAACUGCUUUUAUAGGGGAAUAAAGUGAGCCACGUGUGGUUUUUUGCAUGUACCCUAUGAAUAAGGACCGGCUAAUUCCGUG